RNAcentral lists this long non-coding RNA (898 nucleotides) under Notechis scutatus (mainland tiger snake). RNAcentral describes it as "lncRNA (ENSNSUG00000005192.1)". The record is from RNAcentral. Lineage: Eukaryota; Metazoa; Chordata; Lepidosauria; Squamata; Elapidae.
CAUUUUUAACAUAUGUGUUGUUUUUCUGGUAGUUCUCAAGUCAGCUUUCACAAUGGAACAAAUGGUGGUGAAAUUAAAAAAGCCAGUAUCCUACUGAUCCGCAAAUUAUAUAUAUUGAUGCAGCAUCUUGGGCCCCUACCCAAUGAUAUUACUUUGACCAUGAAACUGUUCUAUUACAAAGAUGAAACAAUCAGAAAGGAUGGAGCUGAAGAGACAGAGACAGAGAAAGAAUGCGGUACUAAGACACCUCACAAAGUCCAAGAAAAACGUCCUUCUAAACUCUCAUUGGAAACCAGAAUGACAUGGCAAAUGGACUUUGCUUCCAGCCAAGAAAACACGAGUGCACCAAAGAAGAAGAAAAAGAAAGUCAGCACAACACUUGAUUUGAUUCUUGCCCCUCAAAAGUUAUGACAGCCUCAGAAGCAAUAGCUAUAGCUGUAAUGCACCUGAACAGUAGUAUCUGAUCUGUUACCUACUUUGGGUAAAUUUCUACAGACAGCAUAUAUUUGGGACAAUGGCAACUUUGAGCCCAGUUGGAAUAGGGAAAAAAUGGGGCCCUAUUAGCUCAGCUGCCUUGAAGCUAUAUAAACAUUUUGCCAUUUGUGAAGGCAUCUUUCAUUCUUGUCUUUGAUAAAAAUUUAUGUCAAUGUAAUGAGAUUGUAUCACCCUGUCAGUUAACAGUUUAUACUAUAUAAAUACAGUUUAUAAUAUAUAAAUACUAAAUACAGCUAAACUAUAGGACGGUACCUUUGUAUCAUUGUGCUUCCCUGGGCACAAAAUUUCCAGAGAUGUUUGUUGUGGAUUAUUUUACAUGGAGGAGAAUACAUUGGAGAUGUGUUUGUGUUCUGUGUGUUCUCCCGUUUUCUCUUUAUUUUUUAAUAAAUACAGAAGAACCACA